Molecule: unclassified non-coding RNA, 361 nt
Filed under: uncultured fungus
Lineage: Eukaryota; Fungi
Description: partial contains small subunit ribosomal RNA, internal transcribed spacer 1, and 5.8S ribosomal RNA
Rfam family: Eukaryotic small subunit ribosomal RNA (bases 1-142)
Source: RNAcentral
ACAAACUUGGUCAUUUAGAGGAAGUAAAAGUCGUAACAAGGUUUCCGUAGGUAAGUGUGGAAGCUUUCUAUCUUACAACCUUUCUAUGCUUGAAUAAUGUGCUGACUUUUGUCUUUUAGGUGAACCUGCGGAAGGAUCAUUACCGAGUGUAACCUCCUCGUAAAAAAGGUGGUAACCUCCCGUCCUUUGCAGGCCCUUUUUUGGGGCAUUUUUUGACUUUAUUGCUUCGGUGGGGGUUUAAACCCACCGGAACACCUUCAAAACUCUGGUUAAAAAAACUGUUUAGUCCGAGGAUUUUUUAAAAUUAAAUAAAACUUUCAACAACGGAUCUCUUGGUUCUGGCAUCGAUGAAGAACGCAGC